Molecule: long non-coding RNA, 938 nt
Filed under: Polistes fuscatus (common paper wasp)
Lineage: Eukaryota; Metazoa; Arthropoda; Insecta; Hymenoptera; Vespidae
Description: uncharacterized LOC122526165
Source: RNAcentral
UAUAUUGUGUUUGGGACCCUAAGAUAAUAAUACAAAAGGUCUAGUUUAUACGUGAAACCUAUGUUGAGGAAUUUUAAGUUAAAAAUAUGUGAACUCAUCAGUUAAAAGUGAUCUUCCACGUGGACAAGUUGUGUUUUUGCUCAGUUUGUGUAUUUCUCAGUGUGUAUAGUUUAAUUAAUUAAAGUAAAAAAUGCCUCGUAAAAUUAGCAGAGAAACUCGUAGAACUUCCAGUGAACAGUUGUCUCGAAGAAAUAAACGGAAGAACGUUUUUAAUCCGAAAACCGUGGAAUAUGAUGAUAGCAGUUUGAUUAUGAGGCCUUACCACCUGAUGUUGCAACAGCUAUUUUUCCAAUUUACGAAGAUCUAAGUAACAAAAAAUUAUUGGAACGAUGCGUUGGUGGUUUUACCCAGAACAAUAAUGAAAGUUAUAAUCAGCUGAUAUGGAAAAUAACUCCAAAAAUUAUUCCAGCUGGCUCUAAAAUUGUGGAAAUAGCUGCAAACAUUGCAGCCGGGGUCUUUAAUGAAGGUAAAACAUCUCUUCUUUAUUAUAUGAGUGCUAUGGGAUUAUCACUUGGACCCAAUGCUCAUUCCUUCGUGAGUAAAGAGAACGCAGAGCGCAUCUCAAUUUCGGACGCAAGAGCGCAAGGGUCGACGCGCGAGGGGAGAAUGGCUCGUAGACAACAACAACUAAACAUUUUGGAUGCAAACGACGAAGUAGAGGGUUCCUCUUAUGGUGCUGGAAUAGAUGACACGAUAUAAUUUGGACCAGAGAUAUCUUGUACACCGCCAAGCACUUUUUUUUGGAGGUCUCUCCGCAGAUCAUCUACAGGAGCUAGGGGAUCCAAUAUUUUUUUAAAUAAAUUUCUGAUUGUUAAAGUACAUUAAAUUCUGUUUAAGUACAUUUUUUUCAUUAAUGUAUAAAAUUAAAUGCCUCUUUG